This 459-nucleotide ribosomal RNA is filed under the name uncultured bacterium. RNAcentral describes it as "bacterial SSU rRNA". It matches the Rfam family "Bacterial small subunit ribosomal RNA", at positions 30 to 516 of the family's 1533-position model. The record is from RNAcentral.
CGAACGCUGGCGGUAUGCUUAACACAUGCAAGUCGAACGAACAAAAUUGGGGCUUGCUCCAAUUUUAGUGAGUGGCAAACGGGUGAGUAACACGUGGGAAUCUACCUAUCAGUACGGAAUAACAUUUGGAAACAGAUGCUAGUACCGUACUAUUCUCCAAGGAGGAAAGAUUUAUCGCUGAUAGAUGAGCCCGCGCAAGAUUAGGUAGUUGGUAGGGUAAUGGCCUACCAAGCCGACGAUCUUUAGCUGGUCUGAGAGGAUGAUCAGCCACACUGGGACUGAGACACGGCCCAGACUCCUACGGGAGGCAGCAGUGGGGAAUCGUUGCACAAUGGAGGAAACUCUGAUGCAGUGAUGCCGCGUGAGUGAAGAAGGCCUUUGGGUUGUAAAGCUCUUUUGUAGGGGAAGAUAAUGACUGUACCCUAAGAAUAAGGUCCGGCUAACUUCGUGCCAGCAGCC